Long non-coding RNA from Chinchilla lanigera (long-tailed chinchilla), 1033 nucleotides. RefSeq lists it as uncharacterized. NCBI's taxonomy places the organism in Eukaryota, Metazoa, Chordata, Mammalia, Rodentia, Chinchillidae. The transcript is spliced from 5 exons. The record is from RefSeq and is a predicted model, not a curated record.
GGGCAGGGGCGGGGCCAGCGCGGCCCGCGGCAGUCACGCCGCCAGGGAAGGGUCUCGAAGUGGGGGCGGCGCUGACGUACGCGGCGCCGGCGUCGUGCGCACGCAGGCGGGAAGCGGCGGCCGGCGGGAGCGCUGUGUGAGCAGAAACAGGCUUCUCUGUGCGAGGGACGCCCGCGACCUCGGCGGGAGUUGGCGGCAGGCCAGCCGGGCGCUCGCCCUUCCCCAGCACCAGAGGGCGGAAUGCCCCGCAGCAAAAGUCCAUUGAAAGAAGCAAAAGUGUUAAAAAAUAAAGAAAAAGAAAACUUGCAAGAAGAAAAAUGGUAGUAUUGAUAUAAGAGAAAUAAAUUCUCAAAUGUGUGAAGCAGAGGGGACCAAACUGAAGCAAAAACCUUUCUGAAUUGAAUGUGAUGCGGGCAUGGAGCCUCUUGAGAAAGCAUUGUCGUCAUCUGCAAGCUGAAAGCUGGGAGGAUGCGUGUCCAGGUUCCAUCAGGAAGAACAACGUGUAGAGGUGGUUCCCCCACUGCUUCAGAGCCUGGGACGGUAGAGUACAUCCCUUCCACUCCCAGGACACUUUAGAAAACUGAGCGUGGCCGUACUUGACUGCCAGGAGGACAAAACAGUUUGUGCUGAGUAUCCAACAUUCUUCACUAUGAUUCCUCAAGAGGAGAACCCUGCUCCCAUCCAACAUUACUUGAUACUAAGAAAUUGUGGAGCUGCAUCAAAGGACAGUCCGGAUUCAGCCACCUGCUAUACUUAAAGUAGCGCCUUUCUACCAGCUCUAUCCAUCUGUUUUUAGAGCGGAUUUGUGCACCAUAAAGCUCUCUUCUCAUAGGAUAAAUUAUUUCAUAGGUUAGUUGUUUGAUCUGCCAGUGAAAUUGGCCCUAAUGAGUCCACAACUCCAGUUUUCCUGGUAUGCACUGAGCUCACAGCUUCUGUCUGAAUCCCAAGUUCAGACAGGCGUGUUUUACAUUCACUUGGAAUUCUGACUUAUACUUAAUAAUUAGCCAUUUUUAAUCUCAAAGUAUUUAUAUUA